GCCCUUAGAGUUUGAUCCUGGCUCAGGAUGAACGCUGGCGGUAUGCCUUACACAUGCAAGUCGUACGAGAGUUUUUAACUCAAGUGGCGGACGGGUGAGUAACACGUAAGAAUUUGCCUUUAGGAGGGGGAUAACAACUGGAAACGGUUGCUAAUACCCCAUAUGCUUUCGAGUAAAAUGGAUUUUCCGCCUAAAGAGAAGCUUGCGGCUGAUUAGCUUGUUGGUGAGGUAAUGGCUCACCAAGGCGACGAUCAGUAUCUGGUUUGAGAGGACGAUCAGACACACUGGAACUGAGACACGGUCCAGACUCCUACGGGAGGCAGCAGUGGGGAAUUUUCCGCAAUGGGCGAAAGCCUGACGGAGCAAUACCGCGUGAGGGAUGACGGCCUAUGGGUUGUAAACCUCUUUUUUCAGGGAGGAAUCAAUGACGUGUACCUGAAGAAUAAGCAUCGGCUAACUCCGUGCCAGCAGCCGCGGUAAGACGGAGGAUGCAAGUGUUAUCCGGAAUCACUGGGCGUAAAGCGUCUGUAGGUGGUCAAAUAAGUCAACUGUUAAAUCUUGAGGCUCAACCUCAAAAUCGCAGUCGAAACUAUUCGACUAGAGUAUAGUAGGGGUAAAGGGAAUUUCCAGUGGAGCGGUGAAAUGCGUAGAGAUUGGAAAGAACACCGAUGGCGAAGGCACUUUACUGGGCUAUUACUAACACUGAGAGACGAAAGCUAGGGUAGCAAAUGGGAUUAGAUACCUCCAGUAGUCCUUAGCUCGUAAACAAUGGAUACUAGAUGUUGAACAGAUCGACCUGUGCAGUAUCAAAGCUAACGCGUUAAGUAUCCCGCCUGGGAAGUAUGCUCGCAAGAGUGAAACUCAAAUGAAUUGACGGGGAAGGGC
RNAcentral lists this ribosomal RNA (885 nucleotides) under uncultured bacterium. RNAcentral's name for it is "bacterial SSU rRNA". It matches the Rfam family "Bacterial small subunit ribosomal RNA", at positions 1 to 924 of the family's 1533-position model. The record is from RNAcentral.